Molecule: ribosomal RNA, 403 nt
Filed under: uncultured bacterium
Lineage: Bacteria
Description: bacterial SSU rRNA
Rfam family: Bacterial small subunit ribosomal RNA
Source: RNAcentral
AUUGAACGCUGGCGGAAUGCUUUACACAUGCAAGUCGAACGGUAGAGGGGGCAACCCCUUGAGAGUGGCGAACGGGUGAGUAAUAUAUCGGAACGUGCCCAGUCGUGGGGAUAACGUAGCGAAAGUUACGCUAAUACCGCAUACGAUCUAAGGAUGAAAGCGGGGGAUCGCAAGACCUCGCGCGAUUGGAGCGGCCGAUAUCAGAUUAGGUAGUUGGUGAGGUAAAGGCUCACCAAGCCAACGAUCUGUAGCUGGUCUGAGAGGACGACCAGCCACACUGGAACUGAGACACGGUCCAGACUCCUACGGGAGGCAGCAGUGGGGAAUUUUGGACAAUGGACGCAAGUCUGAUCCAGCCAUCCGUCGUGCAGGAGUGAAGGACCCGUCCGGGUUCGGUUAAACG